RNAcentral lists this ribosomal RNA (738 nucleotides) under Acinetobacter baumannii OIFC083. RNAcentral describes it as "bacterial SSU rRNA". It matches the Rfam family "Bacterial small subunit ribosomal RNA", at positions 28 to 760 of the family's 1533-position model. The record is from RNAcentral. Lineage: Bacteria; Pseudomonadati; Pseudomonadota; Gammaproteobacteria; Moraxellales; Moraxellaceae.
AUUGAACGCUGGCGGCAGGCUUAACACAUGCAAGUCGAGCGGGGGAAGGUAGCUUGCUACCGGACCUAGCGGCGGACGGGUGAGUAAUGCUUAGGAAUCUGCCUAUUAGUGGGGGACAACAUCUCGAAAGGGAUGCUAAUACCGCAUACGUCCUACGGGAGAAAGCAGGGGAUCUUCGGACCUUGCGCUAAUAGAUGAGCCAAAGUCGGAUUAGCUAGUUGGUGGGGUAAAGGCCUACCAAGGCGACGAUCUGUAGCGGGUCUGAGAGGAUGAUCCGCCACACUGGGACUGAGACACGGCCCAGACUCCUACGGGAGGCAGCAGUGGGGAAUAUUGGACAAUGGGGGGAACCCUGAUCCAGCCAUGCCGCGUGUGUGAAGAAGGCCUUAUGGUUGUAAAGCACUUUAAGCGAGGAGGAGGCUACUUUAGUUAAUACCUAGAGAUAGUGGACGUUACUCGCAGAAUAAGCACCGGCUAACUCUGUGCCAGCAGCCGCGGUAAUACAGAGGGUGCGAGCGUUAAUCGGAUUUACUGGGCGUAAAGCGUGCGUAGGCGGCUUAUUAAGUCGGAUGUGAAAUCCCCGAGCUUAACUUGGGAAUUGCAUUCGAUACUGGUGAGCUAGAGUAUGGGAGAGGAUGGUAGAAUUCCAGGUGUAGCGGUGAAAUGCGUAGAGAUCUGGAGGAAUACCGAUGGCGAAAGCAGCCAUCUGGCCUAAUACUGACGCUGAGGUACGAAAGC